UACAUAUGUAUGAGUAGGGUGGACAAUGUAAUCAACAGUCCCUGUCUGUGCUGUAUUCUGAUGACUCAGAGGGCAAAAGAACAUCCUGUCAUUUAAAUGAAUUGUAAACGCGGGAUAUCUCGGUAUUUGUCUCUCUUUGGAAUGUGCUGGGAAUGGUGGAGAAACAAGCAAAUGGCUUUAUGUUAAUUCUAGAGCUAAGUACCGUAUCUUAUGGUUAAGGAAG
Molecule: non-coding RNA, 223 nt
Organism: Chelonoidis abingdonii (Abingdon island giant tortoise)
Lineage: Eukaryota; Metazoa; Chordata; Testudines; Testudinidae
Source: RefSeq, a predicted model, not a curated record